This 2002-nucleotide unclassified non-coding RNA is filed under the name Hevea brasiliensis (rubber tree). The record is from RNAcentral. Lineage: Eukaryota; Viridiplantae; Streptophyta; Magnoliopsida; Malpighiales; Euphorbiaceae.
GUAGCACUAAUACCAUUGGUCAAUUUGAUCAAAGACCACACCAGCCGGUUGGAUGAACUGGUGACCAAAGUCAAGGCAUUUUGGGCCCAGCUUAGCCCCACCCGAAUAUUUAACAGGCAUGGAUACAUCAUAGAGAAUAUUUCGGAUUUCUAUUUUAAGAAAUCAUCACUAACUUUCUAUUGGAUUGAGAUUUAGAAACUAACACUAACCUUCUAUUCUUAGAUAAUUUAUUAAAAUUUAGUAACAAUUCACAAUCUCUAAUCCUUGGUAUUGAGAUUUAUAUCAGGUGAUCUCUGUAAAGGAAGCACCUUCCUUUCAUAUUCCUAAAAUGGGGCAAGCUAUACAAGUCAAGAGGUAGUUGAUUGCCUCAUCCAUUUUGUAGCAGACCACUUUUCACCUGACAGAACCUCACACCCUCCAUGUAAGCUUUUAGGAUCUGACUGUCCAUCUAAUCCCAUGCUCCAGAAAAGCACUGCAUCUCCUUUAAUUGGCUUUACAGACAACCCUUUCACAACCUUUCCACCACAAUUGCAUUCGCCUGAUCCAGCCAUAGGAAAAUAUGUUUCUCCACCCUCAACAUUGUCACUUAAGUACAUCAGCAUUGUUGCUACACGCUGCCCACCACGCUUCAAGUUGAACUUAAAAAAAAAUGGGGGGAAAUGAGGGAGAAAAAGAGAGGAGAUAGGACAAUUUCAUAUCAGGAGAUUGUUCAAAUUAAGAAAUGAUAGAACAGUAGGGGAAGGUUAAACGACUCACAGUGUCGGAAAAGUAGUCAUGAUGGGGCUUGUAAAACUGAUUCUUUUCAUACCUGCACUUAAAACUUGGAUAAGCUCCCCAUUUUCUAUUGGCACUUGAGAAUAGACUGAUAUCCUUUUUUCAAUUGCCUGAUUGUGCAAGCAAGAAAAAAUUUUUUUGAAACAAUAGAAAAGAAAAUUCAGUGCAGCAGCAUCUUAUUAGUUGUCAUUAUGUCUAAACAAAGACGAACUAAGAAAAAACUAGUUGCAUUAAAGGCAAUGAUAAGAACUGAGAAGGAAACAUUUCACAAGCAUGCAUACACGCAGAGACCUGAAUCCUGAUCCAGAUGCAAGCUUGCCGAUGUUGGUUCGUUGCAGUGUGUUUUUAAUAGUUAAGUAGUAACAUUGAAUUAGCUAGUCAUUUUGAUAUGUAAGCAGCUCAAUCACUUAUAUAAGCCCGUACUAAAUAUGAAUUAAUAUGUAAUAUGUCUAGCACUUUCUCCAAAUCUAAUAUGGUAUUAGAGUCUGGAUUCGAUUGUGGGUUUUAGCCACUCAUAAAACCAUUUAAACCCGUAUUGGGUUAAUACUAAUUAUCAAGGGACAACUAUGUAGUCGCACUUAAGGGGGGAGCGUUGGGAAAUGCCACACUGAAAAUAUACACAGUAAAAGCGCAUAAUAUUAGUUGUUGAGUUGUAACAUUGAAUUAAUUAGUCAUUUUGAUGUGUAAGCAGCGCAAUCAUUUAUAUAUUCCAUACUAAAAAUGAAUUAUUAUGUAAUAUGCCAACAUUCUCUCCAAAUUUAACAGAAGCUAUCUUAUCAAACACUACUGCUUCGCUCUUUAUGUGAGAUAGUUAAGCCAUGCGGCAGGACACAAAAAACUAAAGCCACAAAAAAAUUACUAAAAUAUCAUGGCCAUGUGAUUGAUCAUCAUGCAUAAAUACAAGUAUCCCACAGAUGGAAAAUUUACUCGGCCCACUUUACCUAGUGGGCAAAGAGGACAAACCUUCAGGCACUUGCUUCUAAAAGCUUUCUACUUAGCAAGCAGAAGUUAUGUGACUAACCAAUGGUGCCAAUGGUGGCGCUCGGGGGGCCAGCAGUGGCCACUGCCCCCUUAGCCAAAAAAAAAAAAAUUAUAAGGAGCUUACUAUAUUUACUCUGGUGUAGAUUCAUGUUGCUCCCCCUAACUAGACCAAUGUUGCACACCUAUUCCAAUCUAAAUUUUUUCUUUUUUAAUAUUUAAGUCUAAUUGUUGUCAUAAUCUUAACUUG